UGCCGGUCCCCCCGCAAUAAUCAGCUACGAACCCCGCCAGGCCCGGAAGGGAGCAACGGUAGUAGUGACAUUAUGUGCCGGGGUGUGGCUGGUAGGG
Molecule: non-coding RNA, 97 nt
Organism: Endozoicomonas elysicola
Lineage: Bacteria; Pseudomonadati; Pseudomonadota; Gammaproteobacteria; Oceanospirillales; Endozoicomonadaceae
Rfam family: Bacterial small signal recognition particle RNA
About the family: The signal recognition particle (SRP) is a universally conserved ribonucleoprotein involved in the co-translational targeting of proteins to membranes. Archaeal SRP consists of a 7S RNA and homologues of the eukaryotic SRP19 and SRP54 proteins. In most bacteria, the SRP consists of a 4.5S RNA and the Ffh protein (a homologue of the eukaryotic SRP54 protein).
Source: Rfam